This 288-nucleotide long non-coding RNA is filed under the name Gallus gallus (chicken). The record is from RNAcentral. Lineage: Eukaryota; Metazoa; Chordata; Aves; Galliformes; Phasianidae.
CUCAACUCAAACGAGUGUGCAGCACAGCCACUGCGGGAGAGGAAGAACAAGAAGUCAGACCAUCUGUGAGGCUCAUGGAGUGCCACCAGGGCACUGCACAACGGCUCCAGAAGAGCAGGCUUGGAAAGGCCACAACUGUGUUGUAAUCUGCUCCAUGUGAAGCAUCCAUCUGCUGUUGAACUUUGGGGAAAUUCUUUGCCUGGAUUGGCUUCAGACACUGCAUGGAAGGCCUCUUUUGAGGCAUGACCUAUUCUCCAGGCAGGUUUAUUAUCCAGAAUUAGAAAUCAC